Carassius carassius (crucian carp) is the source of this 220-nucleotide long non-coding RNA. RefSeq lists it as uncharacterized. The transcript has 3 exons. Lineage: Eukaryota; Metazoa; Chordata; Actinopteri; Cypriniformes; Cyprinidae. The record is from RefSeq and is a predicted model, not a curated record.
GCAGGGUGAAGACGAUGCAGCAGAGAUGGACAGGCCUUACACUAAAUGAUAAUGAUCAGGUUUGGAGUGACAAGAGGCUGAGUCAUUGAACACAAGGAGUGACAAAUAUGUAGACAUGGAAGAAGCUGCUCCGCGCCCACAUCUCCUACUGAAUUGUUGUCCAACUGGAGCCCAACAGGAUUCCGCAGGUACUUCAGCACAUACGCCAGCGCAGUACAUU